Long non-coding RNA from Gallus gallus (chicken), 631 nucleotides. RefSeq lists it as uncharacterized. The record is from RefSeq and is a predicted model, not a curated record. Lineage: Eukaryota; Metazoa; Chordata; Aves; Galliformes; Phasianidae. The transcript is spliced from 2 exons.
ACAGUGUCUCUGCAGAUAGUCCCAGGUGGUAUCAGUGGCAGUGGCCUCAGUGACAUAGCUCUAUCCCAUUUGUGACAUGUGUGUUCCUGGACAAGGUUCAACAUGUUUCAUAGCAUAGACAUACUUGCCUGCUUUCAAAGAAUCACAGAAUCUCAUAAUGGCUGAGGUUGGCAGGGACCUCUGGGUCCAUCUGGCCCAACCCCUGCUCCAGCACUCAGAGCAGGGGGCCCAGGGCCAUAUUUACGUGACAUUUGGAGAUCUCCAAGGAGAAGAUUCCACAGUCUCUGGGCAACCUGUGGAGGAGAUGGGAGAGCAAAUGGAGAGGUUUUGGUGUACUCAUAGGCACUGAGUGCCAAAGGAAGAAGAACAAGUUGUACUCCCCACGUAUAAAGGUCCUUUUUUACUUAAGGCCAUAUGAACGCACAUAGGCUGCGAAGAAAGAACAUCAGUAGUUAUUAAGGAAUGAAGCCCUUUCUUCCAGAAGGGGCUAAAUAACCGAUUUCCUCCAUGAAUGCUCUUUUCAGAAUUUCCAUGGAAGUUACAAUUAUUCAUUUAUGCCACAGAAAAGAGCUUCGCUUCUAAGGAACAGACAGUCUUAAACAAUGUCAAAUAAAAGCUGCUUUCACUGCCA